GACGAACGCUGGCGGCGUGCUUAACACAUGCAAGUCGAACGGAAAGGCCCUGCUUUUGUGGGGUGCUCGAGUGGCGAACGGGUGAGUAACACGUGAGUAACCUGCCCUUGACUUUGGGAUAACUUCAGGAAACUGGGGCUAAUACCGGGUAGGAGCUCCUGCUGCAUGGUGGGGGUUGGAAAGUUUCGGCGGUUGGGGAUGGACUCGCGGCUUAUCAGCUUGUUGGUGGGGUAGUGGCUUACCAAGGCUUUGACGGGUAGCCGGCCUGAGAGGGUGACCGGCCACAUUGGGACUGAGGCACGGCGCAGAAUCCUACGGGAGGCAGCAGUGGGGAAUAUUGCACAAUGGGCGGAAGCGUGAUGCAGCAACGCCGCGUGCGGGAUGACGGGCUACGGGUUGUAAACCGCUUUCGCCUGUGACGAAGAGUGAGUGACGGUAAUGGGUAAAGAAGCACCGGCUAACUACGUG
RNAcentral lists this ribosomal RNA (468 nucleotides) under uncultured bacterium. RNAcentral describes it as "partial 16S ribosomal RNA". It matches the Rfam family "Bacterial small subunit ribosomal RNA", at positions 28 to 507 of the family's 1533-position model. The record is from RNAcentral.